AACGAACGCUGGCGGCAUGCCUAACACAUGCAAGUCGAACGAGACCUUCGGGUCUAGUGGCGCACGGUUUCGUAACGCGUGGGAACCUGCCCUUAGGUUCGGAAUAACUCCCCGAAAGGGGUGCUAAUACCGGAUAAUGUCUUCGGACCAAAGAUUUAUCGCCUUUGGAUGGGCCCGCGUUGGAUUAGCUAGUUGGUAGGGUAAAAGCCUACCAAGGCGACGAUCCAUAGCUGGUCUGAGAGGAUGAUCAGCCACACUGGGACUGAGACACGGCCCAGACUCCUACGGGAGGCAGCAGUGGGGAAUAUUGGAAAAUGGGCGAAAGCCUGAUCCAGCAAUGCCGCGUGAGUGAUGAAGGCCUUAGGGUUGUAAAGCUCUUUUAACCGGGAUGAUAAUGACAGUACCGGGAGAAUAAGCCCCGGCUAACUACGUG
RNAcentral lists this ribosomal RNA (433 nucleotides) under uncultured bacterium. RNAcentral describes it as "partial 16S ribosomal RNA". It matches the Rfam family "Bacterial small subunit ribosomal RNA", at positions 29 to 507 of the family's 1533-position model. The record is from RNAcentral.